UCCCUGGUGGUCUAGUGGUUAGGACUCCGUACUUCCGCUACAGGGAACAUGGGUUCGAUCCCUGGUCAGGGAA
RNAcentral lists this transfer RNA (73 nucleotides) under Ovis aries (sheep). It matches the Rfam family "tRNA". Rfam says of the family: Transfer RNA (tRNA) molecules are approximately 80 nucleotides in length. Their secondary structure includes four short double-helical elements and three loops (D, anti-codon, and T loops). The record is from Rfam by way of RNAcentral. Lineage: Eukaryota; Metazoa; Chordata; Mammalia; Artiodactyla; Bovidae.